UUUUUGGUUUCAUCAAUAAUUUCUUCAACUUUAACAACCACUAAUAACCACUUAAUCUUUUAUUUACUAACAAAACAGCACCUUCUCAGCUUUCACCUAUUCUAAUUCAUUUUAAAUCAAUCAAAAUGGAGAUUUCUGUAACGCCCUAAUAGUCCCACAUCGGAUGGGAUAUUGAUUUCGAUCAGUUUAUAUGAGACCUCCACGCUAAUAAUAAUAACUGGGCUUAAGCAUUUUGAGCUGAUGGUUUGGGCCCAACGAGUUAUUGUUGCUAGCGGGUCAGGUUGUUGCAAUUGGUAUCAGAGACGAAUAUCAGCCGGAAGUGUGAGAACUAAGUGCUAUGCGGGACUAAGUGCUACACCAACGGGUUUGGUGGGAGCCACCUCUUGAACCCUUAGGAGUCACAUCUAGAAUCUCACAUCGCCUGGUAAUGGUCCAAAUCUGUCUGUCUGUGAUCUGGUUUGGACCCGACGAGGAUGUCAGGGUCUAAAUAUGGAGAGUUUGUAACGCCCCAAUAGUCCCACAUCGAAUGGAAUACUGAUUUCGAUUGGUAUUUCAACGACCCGACCCGGCCUAAAAUGUUUAAGUCCAGUUAUUAUUACUAGCAUUCUGGGGGCGUUACAAUUUCAAUAAAUCAACAGUCGUUCUGAAUGACAUAACAGACGCUAUUCGCUUUUCAAUUGAAAGAACUAAUACAAGAUGAAAGUUCAGAAAGUCUCUGUAUACACAAUUGACCUUUUAUGGUGCAUUAUCUUUUUCUUUCUUUUUUUUUUAUUUCUACAAUUAUCCUUAGGAGUCACCUCUAGAAUCUCACAUCGCCUGGUAAUGGUCCAGAUCUGUCUGUCUGUGAUCUGGUUUGGACCCGACGAGGAUGUCAGGGUCUAAAUAUAGAGAGUUUGUAACGCCCCAAUAGUCCCACAUCGAAUGGAAUACUGAUUUUGAUUGGUAUUUCAACGACCCGACCCGGCCCAAAAUGCUUAAAUUCAGUUAUUAUUACUAGCAUUCUGGGGGCGUUACAAUUUCAAUAAAUCAACAGUCGUUCUGAAUGACAUAACAGACGCUAUUC
This 1063-nucleotide long non-coding RNA is filed under the name Ananas comosus (pineapple). RNAcentral's name for it is "long non-coding RNA (ACOM_LNC032888)". Lineage: Eukaryota; Viridiplantae; Streptophyta; Magnoliopsida; Poales; Bromeliaceae. The record is from RNAcentral.